RNAcentral lists this ribosomal RNA (465 nucleotides) under uncultured Klebsiella sp. RNAcentral's name for it is "bacterial SSU rRNA". It matches the Rfam family "Bacterial small subunit ribosomal RNA", at positions 338 to 795 of the family's 1533-position model. Lineage: Bacteria; Pseudomonadati; Pseudomonadota; Gammaproteobacteria; Enterobacterales; Enterobacteriaceae. The record is from RNAcentral.
CCUACGGGCGGCAGCAGUGGGGAAUAUUGCACAAUGGGCGCAAGCCUGAUGCAGCCAUGCCGCGUGUGUGAAGAAGGCCUUCGGGUUGUAAAGCACUUUCAGCGGGGAGGAAGGCGUUAAGGUUAAUAACCUUGGCGAUUGACGUUACCCGCAGAAGAAGCACCGGCUAACUCCGUGCCAGCAGCCGCGGUAAUACGGAGGGUGCAAGCGUUAAUCGGAAUUACUGGGCGUAAAGCGCACGCAGGCGGUCUGUCAAGUCGGAUGUGAAAUCCCCGGGCUCAACCUGGGAACUGCAUUCGAAACUGGCAGGCUAGAGUCUUGUAGAGGGGGGUAGAAUUCCAGGUGUAGCGGUGAAAUGCGUAGAGAUCUGGAGGAAUACCGGUGGCGAAGGCGGCCCCCUGGACAAAGACUGACGCUCAGGUGCGAGAGCGUGGGGAGCAAACAGGAUUAGAUACCCGAGUAGUC